RNAcentral lists this ribosomal RNA (484 nucleotides) under uncultured bacterium. Its description in RNAcentral is "partial 16S ribosomal RNA". It matches the Rfam family "Bacterial small subunit ribosomal RNA", at positions 30 to 507 of the family's 1533-position model. The record is from RNAcentral.
AUUGAACGCUGGCGGCAGGCCUAAUACAUGCAAGUCGAGCGGAUGAAGGGAGAUUGUUCCUGGCUUCAGUGGCGGACGGGCGAGUAAUGACUAGGUAUCUGACUGGUCGAGGGGGCUAACGUCCGGUCACGGGCGCUAAUCCCGUACACGUCAUGAGGGUGAACGUGGGGGAUCUUUGGACAUCACGCUUUCAGAUGUGCCUAGGACGGAUUAGCUAGUUGGUAAGGUAAAGGCUUACCAAGGCGACGAUCCGUAGCUGAUCUGAGAGGAUGAUCAGCCACACUGGAACUGAGACACGGUCCAGACUCCUACGGGAGGCAGCAGUAGGGAAUAUUCCGCAAUGGGCGAAAGCCUGAUGGAGCCAUGCCGCGUGAGUGAUGAAGGUCUUCGGAUCGUAAAACUCUGUUAGUAGGGAAGAACAACAGUGUAAGUAACUCUGCCUGUUUUGACGGUACCUACAGAGAAAGCAACGGCUAACUACGUG